AACGGAAAGGCCCCUUUGGGGGUACUCGAGUGGCGAACGGGUGAGUAACACGUGAGUAACCUGCCCUUGACUUCGGGAUAACUUCAGGAAACUGGGGCUAAUACCGGAUAGGAAUCCUUGCUGCAUGGUGGGGGUUGGAAAGCUUCGGCGGUUUUGGAUGGACUCGCGGCUUAUCAGCUUGUUGGUGGGGUAGUGGCUUACCAAGGCUUUGACGGGUAGCCGGCCUGAGAGGGCGACCGGCCACAUUGGGACUGAGAUACGGCCCAGACUCCUACGGGAGGCAGCAGUGGGGAAUAUUGCACAAUGGGCGGAAGCCUGAUGCAGCAACGCCGCGUGCGGGAUGACGGCCUUCGGGUUGUAAACCGCUUUCAGCAGGGGCGAAGCUUUUGUGACGGUACCUGCAGAAGAAGCACCGGCUAACUACGUGCCAGCAGCCGCGGUGAUACGUAGGGUGCGAGCGUUGUCCGGAUUUAUUGGGCGUAAAGAGCUCGUAGGUGGUUGAUUGCGUCGGAAGUGAAAACUUGGGGCUUAACCCUGAGCGUGCUUUCGAUACGGGUUGACUUGAGGAAGGUAGGGGAGAAUGGAAUUCCUGGUGGAGCGGUGGAAUGCGCAGAUAUCAGGAGGAACACCAGUGGCGAAGGCGGUUCUCUGGACCUUUCCUGACGCUGAGGAGCGAAAGCGUGGGGAGCGAACAGGCUUAGAUACCCUGGU
Molecule: ribosomal RNA, 711 nt
Filed under: uncultured Propionibacterium sp.
Lineage: Bacteria; Bacillati; Actinomycetota; Actinomycetes; Propionibacteriales; Propionibacteriaceae
Description: bacterial SSU rRNA
Rfam family: Bacterial small subunit ribosomal RNA
Source: RNAcentral